CCUACGGGAGGCAGCAGUAGGGAAUCUUCCACAAUGGGCGCAAGCCUGAUGGAGCAACGCCGCGUGUGUGAAGAAGGUCUUCGGAUCGUAAAACACUGUUGUUGGAGAAGAAAGUGCGUGAGAGUAACUGUUCACGUUUCGACGGUAUCCAACCAGAAAGCAACGGCUAACUACGUGCCAGCAGCCGCGGUAAUACGGAGGUGGCAAGCGUUAUCCGGAUUUAUUGGGCGUAAAGGGAACGCAGGCGGUCUUUUAAGUCUGAUGUGAAAGCCUUCGGCUUAACCGGAGUAGUGCAUUGGAAACUGGGAGACUUGAGUGCAGAAGAGGGGAGUAGAACUCCAGGUGUAGCGGUGAAAUGCGUAGAUAUAUGGAGGAACACCAGUGGCGAAGGCGGCCCUCUGGUCUGUAACUGACGCUGAGGUUCGAAAGCGUGGGUAGCAAACAGGAUUAGAUACCCCAGUAGUC
This 465-nucleotide ribosomal RNA is filed under the name uncultured bacterium. RNAcentral describes it as "partial 16S ribosomal RNA". It matches the Rfam family "Bacterial small subunit ribosomal RNA", at positions 338 to 795 of the family's 1533-position model. The record is from RNAcentral.